AAAUUGAAGAGUUUGAUCAUGGCUCAGAUUGAACGCUGGCGGCAGGCCUAACACAUGCAAGUCGAACGGUAACAGGAAACAGCUUGCUGUUUCGCUGACGAGUGGCGGACGGGUGAGUAAUGUCUGGGAAACUGCCUGAUGGAGGGGGAUAACUACUGGAAACGGUAGCUAAUACCGCAUAAUGUCGCAAGACUAAAGAGGGGGACCUUCGGGCCUCUUGCCAUCGGAUGUGCCCAGAUGGGAUUAGCUAGUAGGUGGGGUAACGGCUCACCUAGGCGACGAUCCCUAGCUGGUCUGAGAGGAUGACCAGCCACACUGGAACUGAGACACGGUCCAGACUCCUACGGGAGGCAGCAGUGGGGAAUAUUGCACAAUGGGCGCAAGCCUGAUGCAGCCAUGCCGCGUGUAUGAAGAAGGCCUUCGGGUUGUAAAGUACUUUCAGCGGGGAGGAAGGGAGUAAAGUUAAUACCUUUACUCAUUGACGUUAC
This 488-nucleotide ribosomal RNA is filed under the name Shigella sonnei. Its description in RNAcentral is "bacterial SSU rRNA". It matches the Rfam family "Bacterial small subunit ribosomal RNA", at positions 1 to 478 of the family's 1533-position model. The record is from RNAcentral. Lineage: Bacteria; Pseudomonadati; Pseudomonadota; Gammaproteobacteria; Enterobacterales; Enterobacteriaceae.